GCCCAAACAGCAUCGGUAGCGAGGGUAUGCGUGGAAUAGGAUCCGCGAGCAGAGGAAGGGGCCCAUAUCCCCGCGCGUGCUCGGCGCCGGCAUCCUCUCUCAUCUCCGGCCGGCUCCCCUCACCGGCCGCCGCCACCGCCUACUCGCCGUCCCUUCUCAUCAGCGGAUCAAGCAGAGGUAGCAGCAGCGCCACCCCUCGCUCCUCGGCUCGCACCCAAUCCCCCCCGCCGCAACCCUAACCCUCCCCAAUCGGCCGCCGCCGACAUGUGUCCGCCGGAACCCAGCUGCCACUCGGCGCUGCUCGUCGACCUCGUCGUCAACGAAAUCCUCAUCCGCUGCCCGCCGGACGAGCCGGAGCGCCUCGCCCGCGCCUCCCUCGUGUGCAAGGAGUGGCACCGCGUCCUGGACGACCCCGACUUCCGCCGCCGCUACGGCGAGUUCCACCGGAGGGCGCCCCUGCUGGGAUUGCUCCACGACUACGGCGUCCUCUCUGAUCACCCCAUCAUCCAGUCCAGAUUUGUGCCCACCACGGCCUUCUCCACGCGGACGCCCCUGCACCGCAGGUUCCUGCUCGACUCACGCCACGGUCGCGCCCUCUAUGGAACCUACGUCCCGCCGCGAGCCUGCUUGGGCCAAGGUGGACGACAAGGACCCCAUCACCGACGCCGGCCGAGUGGAGGGUUCCGUUUCCCACCAGCACCAAGAGCUUGCUCUCUGGCGGCUGGAAUGCAGCAGUGCUCUGCGCCGCAGACGGCUGCGACCACGCCGUUGGUUGCCGGAGCAGCCCCUUCCUCAUUGCCGUCAUAGGCUUGGACUUCCAUUGGCGGCGCACGUUCGCCUGCCUCUACUCGUCGGAGGCAGGCACCUGGAGCCACUUCAGCUGCUUUGAGCACCCGGGCACUGUAGUCGUUGGCCGGGGCCGGGCCAGCAUCGUUUUGCAGAAUGCAAUAUAUUUUCCCUGCAAUAUAUAUAGGUUCUGGAAUCAUGCAGUACAAUGUGGCCGAGCUGGAGCUGUCAUGGAUCAACGCGCCUUCUGAAUUACCCAAACGCAGUGACUUUUGCCUUGUCAAGACAGAAGAUGGCAACCUGGGGUUUGUCAGCUACGACGCCGGUGGCCGUAUGUACAUGUGGAAAAGGGUAUUUGAUGCCAACGGAGCUGGGGAAUGGGCUCAACGCAGUGCCAUCAGUGAGCUGCUCCCUACUCGUGCCCUACCACCUUACCGCCGAUUCAUGGACGGUGCCAGAGUCGCUCUGUUCAGAACAUGCUCUGAAUUGCUUAUGGUUGAUCUCAGAUCACAUCGAGUCAGGAAGGUAAGCAUCGAGGGGUGCGAAGUCGAUAAGGUCAUUCCCUACAUGAGCUUUUACCGAAAAAGGCUUUCGCCCCGCUUUAUAAAUAAAGCAAACCGUCAAGAGCACACAUACACGGACUAGUCCAGCACACACACACCCAAGUCACAGAACAAGAAGUACAAAGGUUCUGCUGAGGGCACAGCUCAACAAGCCCAGCUACAUGAGCUUUUACACUCCACGUACUAGCCUAGAGCGGGCGCAGCAGCUUUUUCAAAAGGGCUCCAAGGCCAUGGUGGAACGAGACUUCGUCGACGUCGUAUGCUGCCUCCGCCGUGCCCAUGACAUCAGGUGAUGAUUCGUUCGUUCCACCCGCCCGAUAGGAGUUCUAUUUUGAUGCUAUUGAAACUUGUUCCUCAUAAUGUGUACAAGCACUAGGCUGUAGCUACAAGAGGAAACAAAAUGAUGCACAUAGUUAGCACCUUAUUGAUGGACGUGAUUGUGCAGUUAGUUUUCAUUUUGCUAUUCUAUAUCAGAUUGCACUAUCUUUCAUGGCCUUACAUUAUGCCCUUAAGGCCGUAACAAUGAUAAGCUGACAAUUUGACACCUAUCUCGGAAGUUGAUAUUCAAAGAAUGUGUGUUGUUAUCCUGUUACCCCAUAUGGUCAUAUACACUAGAAUAUAUUACUAUUAUCUACCUAUGCAGUUUAUAUUAUCAUACUCAUUACACUAUACAAAUACAACAUUUUCUCAUCCUCUGUUCAUACCUGUUGAAGACUUUACAUGGUAAGCUGCUAAUCAUUAAUGUACUCCUAAAUUUCGAAGUUAAUGGUCUUGGUCUGAGACUCGAAAAUAUUUGGAAUUAUCUGUUGAUUCUCAUCAUCAUUAUAUAGGAGAAAAUUCAUCAAAGUGUUUUUUUUUACUUUAGGGCCUGGAUUGGGUGUAUUUUUUUGUGUAAUCCCCAGUAUGUAGCUCAACCUUGAAAUAAAACACCAAGGAGCUUGCAAAAAUUACACUCAAUCAAAGAGCAAUGCAAUUUUUUGCUAUAAAUAGUAGAUGCUCUACGGCAAAUUUGGUUCUUUCGCCUUUAGUUGUCCAAAUAGCAUGCUUUGAAUGAGUUGCUUCUUUUACAAUAAUACUACACAUUAUUAUUUUUGAAAUUUUGUGUUACUGAAAUUACAUAAUAACAUCAGCAAUUGACAUUUACACCAGAAUUCUAUCAGGUUUACAUCUCAGUUCACCAAUAUAUUGAUUAAUGAUGAUCACCUUAUAUCGGUUGAGUUGGCUCAUACAUAUGUCAUCCAGCCAUGGCAAAUACUGAUAAUAGUCAUUGCCUCAUUGGUUAGGUCAAAACUCAAAUAGCAAAUAUCAGGAGGAUAGGAACCAUGAAAGUGACAAAGAUGAUGACAUGGUAGGAGAUGAAAAUUAUUCUGAUUUGGAUCUGGCAUGGAAAAUGCUGGAGAAUGCAAGGGCAAUAGUUGAGAAGAGCCCAAACCUCACUAUGAAGAAGGUUAAGGUCUUCUCUGCUCUGGCUGCAGUCCAUGGAAAGAGACAGUCUCAAUUAUCUUACACUAUAGUUACUGUCCUUAAUUUAGUUGACUAAUGGUCUUGAUACUCAUGGCCCCACAUCUGGUUUGCGGAAGACAUAGACAACUCACUCGAUGACUAUUUCAAAGCUUUAGCCAUCUUGGAUAAUUUGGUUGACCCAGAUAAUCGUCCGAUUGUUACACUGUAUCCUCCUGGUGGUAAUACUAGUAUCAAUUGUCUUAUCAUAUAGUGUUAUAAAACAGCUUACUGGCAACUCAAGUGCUGCAGUGCUUGCAUCCUUCUAAGGUUUUACGUGUAUAUUUUAGUCUGUUAAACUGAAUUUUAUGGCUAAAAGGGGUGCUUUUAAUAUUGUACCCAUCCGUGAUUCAGGUAAUUUGAGUUGAUUCGUAUCUUGGACAGGUACCUUCAUUUAUGUAUAUGUACCUGUACAUGUAGUUACGGUGUUAAACUCUGGUUAUAUCAUAGAAAAAGGAUCAGUUAUAUAAUGUUGUUAUCUUUCAUAUUUCGGUUAUUCUUCCUUUUAAUUUCCUUGAUUCAAUCAUGGAAACUGAAGGAUGUGUUCUGUCUCUGAACUGGCAUUCAAGAUUGGUGAUGCGAUUCCAUAUUGUGCAAAGUCUUUUUCGUUAUGUAAAUCACAUACAGUAUGCUAAACCUGAGAAUGGCCAAGGGUGAUAAUGGUGAUAAUGCAUCUUCUGCUAAAGGAGGUUCAGGGAAAUCUGCUUUAAAAGAUGUGAUGGAGUUGCUUACCGACAUAUUAACUGAACUUGAGAUGAAGCUUGAAGACCUGGAGCAAGAAAUGACAACACCAAGCUCUUUUACAAGUGAGGUUUUGAUUGCCUCAAAGGCAAGUGGAGGCCAGAGCGCUGGCAAUUUCAAGUCAAGAGCUGCAUCUUCUCCAACUAAAUCUUACCGCAGCAGCAACUGCAAGUACUAGGUGGCUGAAAGACGUCACCGUUGAGCCCUAUCUGGUGCGUAUUUUGGAGAUCUCUGAUCUUGUGUCAAGUAUGAAGGUUAUGAAGUUAAGGAUGGUGCUUUGGUCAGAGAGUGAGGCUAUACUUGGGAACAUGUUGACAUGAUGCUUCAGAAGUAUCCUGAACUCUUUCAAACAGAAAAUGGAUCGAGAGAAGCCCAUGAGAGCAAGUUUCGUCUACCCUUAGCGUAAUAAGUCAGAAAGGGUUGUGGCCUGAAGGUUGUCAACGGGAUCUUCAGAUGCUAUGUUUAUCCUUUUUGCCCUGGUUUACUUACUGCACAUGGGCAUGUACUUCUGUUGGGAUAGUGGAUGCUGAUUUCACUGAACUGUUUGUUUCAUAGUUUCAAGUAUGGACGUGAGAUGAACUAUAUAUAUAUAUAUAU
Molecule: long non-coding RNA, 4187 nt
Organism: Triticum aestivum (bread wheat)
Lineage: Eukaryota; Viridiplantae; Streptophyta; Magnoliopsida; Poales; Poaceae
Exons: 4
Source: RefSeq, a predicted model, not a curated record